This 697-nucleotide ribosomal RNA is filed under the name Arthrobacter globiformis. Its description in RNAcentral is "bacterial SSU rRNA". It matches the Rfam family "Bacterial small subunit ribosomal RNA", at positions 565 to 1259 of the family's 1533-position model. Lineage: Bacteria; Bacillati; Actinomycetota; Actinomycetes; Micrococcales; Micrococcaceae. The record is from RNAcentral.
GAGCUCGUAGGCGGUUUGUCGCGUCUGCCGUGAAAGUCCGGGGCUCAACUCCGGAUCUGCGGUGGGUACGGGCAGACUAGAGUGAUGUAGGGGAGACUGGAAUUCCUGGUGUAGCGGUGAAAUGCGCAGAUAUCAGGAGGAACACCGAUGGCGAAGGCAGGUCUCUGGGCAUUAACUGACGCUGAGGAGCGAAAGCAUGGGGAGCGAACAGGAUUAGAUACCCUGGUAGUCCAUGCCGUAAACGUUGGGCACUAGGUGUGGGGGACAUUCCACGUUUUCCGCGCCGUAGCUAACGCAUUAAGUGCCCCGCCUGGGGAGUACGGCCGCAAGGCUAAAACUCAAAGGAAUUGACGGGGGCCCGCACAAGCGGCGGAGCAUGCGGAUUAAUUCGAUGCAACGCGAAGAACCUUACCAAGGCUUGACAUGGACCGGACCGCCGCAGAAAUGUGGUUUCCCCUUUGGGGCUGGUUUACAGGUGGUGCAUGGUUGUCGUCAGCUCGUGUCGUGAGAUGUUGGGUUAAGUCCCGCAACGAGCGCAACCCUCGUUCUAUGUUGCCAGCACGUGAUGGUGGGGACUCAUAGGAGACUGCCGGGGUCAACUCGGAGGAAGGUGGGGACGACGUCAAAUCAUCAUGCCCCUUAUGUCUUGGGCUUCACGCAUGCUACAAUGGCCGGUACAAAGGGUUGCGAUACUGUG